UCCAUCCACUUUACCAGGUUGAUGAGGACUACAUUCAGGACAAGUUUAACCUGACAGGGCUCAAUGAGCAGGUGCCUCACUACCGCCAGGCCCUUGACAUGAUCCUGGACCUGGAGCCAGAUGAGGAGCUGGAGGACAACCCCAACCAGAGUGACCUGAUAGAGCAGGCAGCAGAGAUGCUGUACGGGCUGAUCCACGCACGCUACAUCCUCACCAACAGAGGCAUCGCUCAGAUGCUGGAUAAGUACCAACAAGGGGACUUUGGCUAUUGCCCAAGAGUGUACUGUGAGAAUCAACCCAUGCUUCCUAUUGGUGAGUUUGAC
Salvelinus sp. IW2-2015 is the source of this 323-nucleotide long non-coding RNA. RefSeq lists it as uncharacterized. The record is from RefSeq and is a predicted model, not a curated record. NCBI's taxonomy places the organism in Eukaryota, Metazoa, Chordata, Actinopteri, Salmoniformes, Salmonidae.